UACGUAGGCAGCAAGCGUUGUUCGGAAUUACUGGGCGUAAAGAGUGUGUAGGCGGUGCUCCAAGUCUGGUGUGAAAUCUCCCGGCUUAACUGGGAGGGUGCAUUAGAAACUAGAAUGCUAGAGGGUGGGAGAGGUAAGCGGAAUUCCUGGUGUAGCGGUGAAAUGCGUAGAUAUCAAGAGGAACACCUGAGGUGAAGACGGGUUGCUGGGCCGACACUGACGCUGACAGCGCGAAAGCCAGGGGAGCAAACGGG
Molecule: ribosomal RNA, 254 nt
Filed under: uncultured bacterium
Lineage: Bacteria
Description: partial 16S ribosomal RNA
Rfam family: Bacterial small subunit ribosomal RNA
Source: RNAcentral